ACCGCGUGUGUGAAGAAGGCCUGAGGGUUGUAAAGCACUUUCAAUAGGAAGGAAUACCUAUCGGUUAAUACCCGNGUAGACUGACAUUACCUAUACAAGAAGCACCGGCUAACUCCGUGCCAGCAGCCGCGGUAAUACGGAGGGUGCAAGCGUUAAUCGGAAUUACUGGGCGUAAAGCGUGCGUAGGCGGUUAUUUAAGUCAGAUGUGAAAGCCCUGGGCUUAACCUGGGAACUGCAUUUGAUACUGGAUGACUAGAGUUGAGUAGAGGAGAGUGGAAUUUCAGGUGUAGCGGUGAAAUGCGUAGAGAUCUGAAGGAACACCAGUGGCGAAGGCGGCUCUCUGGACUCAAACUGACGCUGAGGUACGAAAGCGUGGGUAGCAAACAGGAUUAGAUACCCUGGUAGUCCACGCCGUAAACGAUGUCAACUAACCGUUGGGUUCUUUAAGAACUUAGUGGUGGAGCUAACGUAUUAAGUUGACCGCCUGGGGAGUACGGCCGCAAGGCUAAAACUCAAAUGAAUUGACGGGGGCCCGCACAAGCGGUGGAGCAUGUGGUUUAAUUCGAUGCAACGCGAAGAACCUUACCUACCCUUGACAUGUAGCGAAUCUUUAGAGAUGAGGGUGCUUCGGGAACGCU
RNAcentral lists this ribosomal RNA (638 nucleotides) under uncultured bacterium. RNAcentral describes it as "bacterial SSU rRNA". It matches the Rfam family "Bacterial small subunit ribosomal RNA", at positions 396 to 1030 of the family's 1533-position model. The record is from RNAcentral.